Small nuclear RNA from Mercurialis annua (annual mercury), 154 nucleotides. RefSeq annotates it as U1 spliceosomal RNA. The transcript has a single exon. The record is from RefSeq and is a predicted model, not a curated record. NCBI's taxonomy places the organism in Eukaryota, Viridiplantae, Streptophyta, Magnoliopsida, Malpighiales, Euphorbiaceae.
AUAAAAAACAAGAUGAAUAUAUCAAGAGUAAGUAAUGAUAUAAUUUGUUGGUCUUCAUUGCACUUUGAAGAUGCAACUGCCUAAAGUCUUCUCAAGUAGAAGAGCUUACGUCAUAAUUUGUGCUAGCGGGGGCCUGCGUUCGCGCGGCCCCUCU